UUUGGCAGCAAUAGUGCAGUAGAUCCACCUGAUCCCAUACCGAACUCAGAAGUGAAAUGCUGUUACGCUGAUGGUAGUGUAGGGAGUCCCUAUGUGAGAGUAAGUCACUGCCAAAU
Molecule: ribosomal RNA, 116 nt
Filed under: Lonepinella koalarum
Lineage: Bacteria; Pseudomonadati; Pseudomonadota; Gammaproteobacteria; Pasteurellales; Pasteurellaceae
Source: RNAcentral